UACGAAGGGGGCUAGCGUUGUUCGGAAUCACUGGGCGUAAAGGGCGCGUACGGCGGCCGAUCAAGUCGGGGGUGAAAGCCUGUGGCUCAACCACAGAAUUGCCUUCGAUACUGUUUGGCUUGAGACCGGAAGAGGUUAGUGGAACUGCGAGUGUAGAGGUGAAAUUCGUAGAUAUUCGCAAGAACACCAGUGGCGAAGGCGGCUGACUGGUCCGGUUCUGUGACGCUGAGGCGCGAAAGCGU
RNAcentral lists this ribosomal RNA (242 nucleotides) under uncultured bacterium. Its description in RNAcentral is "partial 16S ribosomal RNA". It matches the Rfam family "Bacterial small subunit ribosomal RNA", at positions 524 to 762 of the family's 1533-position model. The record is from RNAcentral.